Canis lupus familiaris (dog) is the source of this 1706-nucleotide long non-coding RNA. RefSeq lists it as uncharacterized. The record is from RefSeq and is a predicted model, not a curated record. The transcript is spliced from 2 exons. NCBI's taxonomy places the organism in Eukaryota, Metazoa, Chordata, Mammalia, Carnivora, Canidae.
CGGCGGAGGGCGGCGGGGGAGCCGGCGCCUCGGGGCGCGGGAGCGACGCCCCAGGAAGCCUGGAAAGGUGAGGACCCGAGCAGGACCCCAUCACCUGGCUGCGGUCAGGAGGAGCCCCCACCCACCACCUCAGCGGGAUGUUGGAAGAACAGGGGAGCUUCUCUUCUCCUUUGUCCCUUUCCUAUUCUCAACAUGUUUUACAGCCUUCGUAAGAUUAGUGCAACGCGUAGUCCCUUACAGAGAAACGUGUGUGCACGGGUACACGUAACCCCAGGAGGCUUACCAACACAGGCACGCGACCUGACCCAUCUGCUUCAGCUUCUCUCUGCCCGUGGCUUCCUAACCUGGGCAGGCAUCUGAAUCACCUGGCAGGCUUGUGGAAGCACAGAUUGCUGGCACUUGUUCCUAGUGGUGGGAGGGGGCUGCAACGUCAUCUGUUGCUAAUCCGCUGGUCCAGGACCCACACUUUGAGACCAUCUACCCCAGCUGCAGCAGAGCUGGGCUGUGCCUGAGCACAGCGGGCUCCCUGACCCCUCAGCUCACACUCUGUCUCCUCCAGGAAGACUCCCCUUCCCUAUCUUGAAGGUGCAUUUGAAUUGUUAGUACCUCCUUUAGGUCCUUCCUGCUUGCUGCAGCUGGAAGUGAUCUUAUUCCUCAGGAUUUAGGUAGAACUGAGAGGAGACCCAGGAAAUUCUACUUUGUUACACUUACUUGCAUUCUUUUCUUUUUUUUUUUAAGAUUUUAUUUAUUUAUUCAUAGAGAGAGAGAGGCAGAGACACAGGCAGAGGGAGAAGCAAGCUCCAUGCAGGGAGCCCGACGUGGGACUCGAUCCCGGGUCUCCAGGAUCACACCCCGGGCUGCAAGCGGCGCUAAACCGCUGAGCCACCAGGGUUGCCCAAUUUUAUCUUUUCUACUAGAUUAUAAGCUAUUUAAAAAUGAAGCCUGUACUGGACUCUUAACAAAUGUUAAACGUGUGAACAAGUGACAAUUUGGUUAAAAUCACGAAUAUUGGUAAUAGCAAAACUGGAAAUACAAUAUCCAUAAAUAGGGGACUGAAUGAAUAAAAUUGUAUAUCGUGCCAAUUAUCAACACAUUAUAUCUCAGCUCUAAAUUCACACCUCUUUGCCUGAUCCAUGAAAAUGGAUCUGAGUCUUCUAUUUUUUGCAUACUCUCUGGCAUGAUGCUAACCAUUGUCAAUAGAGGGUGCUGUGAAAAAAACCUUUCCCCAGCACCCUGUAGGGAGGAUUUCCAGCAUGUCCCACCAGUGCAGCGUCGGACAGGUUCUCUGCCCCACAGCGAGCCAAAAGUGGGUCUAGAUCCAACAGUCUAGAUCUCAACUCUGGGGACAGAGUGGGCUCCUCGCUGUCAUAGCCCUGGAUAAGGUGAUUGUGGCUACUCUUUGUUUCUUACUAUUCUUGCAAUCUUUAUAAUCUCAUUUCUUUUGUAAAGAUGUUAUUUAUUUCAGAGAGAGCAAGAGAGAGUACGAGCAGUGUGGAGGUACAGGGGGAAGGAGAAGCAGGCUCCCCACUGAGCAGGGAGCCUGAUAUGAGACUUGAUCCCAUGACCUUGGGAUUAUGACCUGAGCCAAAGGCAGACACUUAACAGCUGAGGCACCCAGGUGACCCCAUUUCUCCUUACUGCCCAAUCCCUUACUCCAAUCCCUAGUUAUUGCUAAUAAUUCUUUAUAUUAAACUCUGUUCAAAUUA